Molecule: long non-coding RNA, 1632 nt
Filed under: Capra hircus (goat)
Lineage: Eukaryota; Metazoa; Chordata; Mammalia; Artiodactyla; Bovidae
Description: lncRNA (ENSCHIG00010016365.1)
Source: RNAcentral
AUGACACUCUGUCCUGUGAUAUUUUUAAUCAAGAGCGCGGGAGAGCGUGUGUCUGAUGCACUCCAGAUAGUCAGAGAUGGAAAUGGUUUUGUUCUUGUGUUUUCUCUUUUCAACCCAGCGCUAAGUCAGAGCUGCCUGAGGAAGACUCCACACGCGUUUCCCUUGAGCUGGUCUGCAGGCCCCUCCGGCUGGGACCCUGUCCUAGGAGCUGCCCGUCUGCAAACAGUUCAGGGGCCUUCUGGAGGAGUGGCCACCCAGCCUGUUUCGAUUAUGUUCUGUCCAGAACCGGCAGACAAGGGCACGGGCCUUCCGCUAGUAGACAGAGGCGCCGGGAGAGCUCGUCCUUCUGCAGCCGGAGAGCAUCCCUCUCGGAGUCGCCCUGCAUCUCCUUGGCCUUUCUGAUUGCUUCCCGGCAUUUUUUAUAGUCUCUCAUCUGUUUCUGUUCGGGGGUCACCAAACGGCUGGUUGCCAGUGAUGGGCAUCACAGCACGGCUGGGCCAGGCCUCCCUGUCACCAUCCCGAGCUCUGCAGCCCACAAUACCUAGUCUAGGGACGUCCAGGGCUCUGUGAGAAGGAGCCUGGUGAGGAUAGGGCCUCUCCACCUCUCCUGACAGGCCAGUUCAGAACAUCGNNNNNNNNNNNNNNNNNNNNNNNNNNNNNNNNNNNNNNNNNNNNNNNNNNNNNNNNNNNNNNNNNNNNNNGAACUGUCCCCCCCUUCCCCACUGUGCAUGAGGACCUCGCGGGGCUAGGAAGUGAGGGGCUGCCACAGGGACUCGUGUCUUCUGGGUCUUCUGAUCCCUCGAUCAACACGUGCCAGGCGGAAGUCGUUUGUCCAUGAACUGUCUUGGAAGGCAAACAUGCCUGCCUGGCUGUGGGCGUCUUGGCCCCAAACCUUCCUCCAGCAGGGGGUUGUACGGGACAGAGUGGCGUCCCAGGGGUAGGAGCCCCAGGGUGUAAGGAGCUGAGAGAAGAGGUUGUCACUGGAGUUUUCUGUGUCCUUGGUUUGGAGUCAACUCUGGAGGCCUUUCAUGGGGUUGAACUGUGACAUUGGGAUGUGUGUGUGUGUGCGUGCGUGUGUGUGUGUGUGUGUGUGGUAGACACACUCCAUGCUGGUGAGGAUUUUUUUUCUCAAAAUUCUAUUCCUAAUCCUGGAAUAUGAAGGAAGUAGAAAUAGGGCAUUGCUGUGGUCCAGCUGCUGUGAAAGAAGAAUGUCAUGCACGUUGUAUCUUGACACCCACAGAGCAUCAUAGAAUGUCUGAGCGGUGGGGGAGAGCCAGGGAGCUUCUUGUCCAUCUCCCUCCUUUUAUGACCAAGAGGGAGACUGGUCUCUGAAAGGCCGCUGACUUACACCAGGACCCUCAGCCACGUGCAGAGACAGCUCUCUUGCAUCCCGCCCAGGCCCUUUGAGGGAUGGCAUCACUGUUGCACUGAAUAAGAGUAACUGCCUUCAGUGGCUAGCAAUCCUGUGCCCCUGGUCCUCCCACUGCGGCCGGCAGGGCGGAGGUGUGAAUUAAUUUCACAGAGGUCUGUGUGCUCUGGAGAUGUGUGGUCUGAGUGUGCUUUAUCUGCCUUGUUUUCGGGAACUCGUGUAUGGAUGUGAGAGUUGGACUAUAAAGAAAGCUGAGCGCCAAA